RNAcentral lists this transfer RNA (73 nucleotides) under Phycisphaerales bacterium. RNAcentral describes it as "tRNA-Thr". It matches the Rfam family "tRNA". From Rfam's summary of the family: Transfer RNA (tRNA) molecules are approximately 80 nucleotides in length. The record is from RNAcentral. Lineage: Bacteria; Pseudomonadati; Planctomycetota; Phycisphaerae; Phycisphaerales. RNAcentral also lists the same sequence under 2 other names.
GCCGCCGUAGCUCAGUCGGUAGAGCAGCGGUUUUGUAAACCGCAGGUCGUGGGUUCAAGUCCCUCCGGCGGCU